UACAGAGGGUGCGAGCGUUGUUCGGAAUUAUUGGGCGUAAAGGGCGCGUAGGCGGUCUUGUAAGUCCCGUGUGAAAUCCCUCGGCUCAACUGAGGAACUGCACGGGAAACUGCUUGGCUUGAGUUCGGGAGAGGGAAGCGGAAUUCCGGGUGUAGCGGUGAAAUGCGUAGAUAUCCGGAGGAACACCGGUGGCGAAGGCGGCUUCCUGGACCGACACUGACGCUGAGGCGCGAAAGCUAGGGGAGCAAACGGG
This 253-nucleotide ribosomal RNA is filed under the name uncultured bacterium. Its description in RNAcentral is "partial 16S ribosomal RNA". It matches the Rfam family "Bacterial small subunit ribosomal RNA", at positions 524 to 776 of the family's 1533-position model. The record is from RNAcentral.